RNAcentral lists this ribosomal RNA (967 nucleotides) under Thalassomonas sp. ESY_W4. RNAcentral's name for it is "bacterial SSU rRNA". It matches the Rfam family "Bacterial small subunit ribosomal RNA", at positions 87 to 1050 of the family's 1533-position model. The record is from RNAcentral. Lineage: Bacteria; Pseudomonadati; Pseudomonadota; Gammaproteobacteria; Alteromonadales; Colwelliaceae.
GGCGUCGAGCGGCGGACGGGUGAGUAAUGCUUGGGAAUAUGCCUUUUGGUGGGGGACAACAGUUGGAAACGACUGCUAAUACCGCAUAAUGUCUACGGACCAAAGCGGGGGACCUUCGGGCCUCGUGCCAAAAGAUUAGCCCAAGUGAGAUUAGCUAGUUGGUGGGGUAAAGGCCUACCAAGGCGACGAUCUCUAGCUGGUUUGAGAGGAUGAUCAGCCACACUGGGACUGAGACACGGCCCAGACUCCUACGGGAGGCAGCAGUGGGGAAUAUUGCACAAUGGGGGAAACCCUGAUGCAGCCAUGCCGCGUGUGUGAAGAAGGCCUUCGGGUUGUAAAGCACUUUCAGUCGUGAGGAAAGGGGUGUAGGUAAUAUCUGCAUUCUGUGACGUUAGCGACAGAAGAAGCACCGGCUAACUCCGUGCCAGCAGCCGCGGUAAUACGGAGGGUGCGAGCGUUAAUCGGAAUUACUGGGCGUAAAGCGUGCGUAGGCGGUUUGAUAAGUCAGAUGUGAAAUCCCGGAGCUUAACUUCGGAACUGCAUUUGAAACUGUUUGACUAGAGUACUGUAGAGGGUGGUGGAAUUUCCAGUGUAGCGGUGAAAUGCGUAGAGAUUGGAAGGAACAUCAGUGGCGAAGGCGGCCACCUGGACAGAUACUGACGCUGAGGCACGAAAGCGUGGGGAGCGAACAGGAUUAGAUACCCUGGUAGUCCACGCCGUAAACGAUGUCAACUAGCUGUUUGUGUCCUUGAGACGUGAGUAGCGUAGCUAACGCGCUAAGUUGACCGCCUGGGGAGUACGGCCGCAAGGUUAAAACUCAAAUGAAUUGACGGGGGCCCGCACAAGCGGUGGAGCAUGUGGUUUAAUUCGAUGCAACGCGAAGAACCUUACCAUCCCUUGACAUCCAGAGAAUUUUCUAGAGAUAGAUUAGUGCCUUCGGGAACUCUGAGACAGGUGCUGCAUGGCU